UGGCACAGGAAAACGGGCCGUCCCUUGG
Molecule: small RNA, 28 nt
Filed under: Bombyx mori (domestic silkworm)
Lineage: Eukaryota; Metazoa; Arthropoda; Insecta; Lepidoptera; Bombycidae
Description: ovarian small RNA-8744
Source: RNAcentral